This is a long non-coding RNA of Leucoraja erinaceus (little skate), 5386 nucleotides long. RefSeq lists it as uncharacterized. The transcript is spliced from 3 exons. The record is from RefSeq and is a predicted model, not a curated record. NCBI's taxonomy places the organism in Eukaryota, Metazoa, Chordata, Chondrichthyes, Rajiformes, Rajidae.
GUGUCAUAGAAACAUAGAAACAUAGAAAUUAGGUGCAGGAGUAGGCCAUUCGGCUCUUCGAGCCUGCACCGCCAUUUAAUAUGAUCAUGGCUGAUCAUCCAACUCAGUAUCCCGUACCUGCCUUCUCUCCAUACCCUCUGAUCCCCUUGGCCACAAGGGCCACAUCUAACUCCCUCUUAAAUAUAGCCAAUGAACUGGCCUCAACUACCCUCUGUGGCAGAGAGUUCCAGAGAUUCACCACUCUCUGUGUGAAAAAAGUUUCCUCAUCUCGGUUUUAAAGGAUUUCCCCCUUAUCCUUAAGCUGUGCCCCCUUGUCCAGGACUUCCCCAACAUCGGGAACAAUCUUCCUGCAUCUAGCCUGUCCAACCCCUUAAGAAUUUUGUAAGUUUCUAUAAGAUCCCCUCUCAAUCUCCUAAAUUCUAGAGAGUAUAAACCAAGUCUAUCCAGUCUUUCUUCAUAAAACAGUCCUGACAUCCCAGGAAUCAGUCUGGUGAACCGUCUCUGCACUCCCUCUAUGGCAAUAAUGCCCUUCCUCAGAUUUGGAGACCAAAACUGCACGCAAUACUCCAGGUGUGGUCUCACCAAGACCCUGUACAACUGCAGUAGAACCUCCCUGCUCCUAUACUCAAAUCCUCUUGCUAUGAAAGCCAACAUACCAUUCGCUUUCUUUACUGCCUGCUGCACCUGCAUGCCUACCUUCAAUGACUGGUGUACCAUGACACCCAGGUCUCGCUGCAUCUCCCCCUUUCCCAAUCGGCCACCGUUUAGAUAAUAAUCUGCUUUCCCGUUUUUGCCACCAAAAUGGAUAACCUCACAUUUAUCCACAUUAUACUGCAUCUGCCAAACAUUUGCCCACUCACCCAGCCUAUCCAAGUCACCUUGCAGUCUCCUAGCAUCCUCCUCACACCUAACACUGCCCCCCAGCUUAGUGUCAUCCGCAAACUUGGAGAUAUUGCCUUCAAUUCCCUCAUCCAGAUCAUUAAUAUAUAUUGUAAAUAGCUGGGGUCCCAGUACUGAGCCUUGCGGUACCCCACUAGUCACUGCCUGCCAUUGUGAAAAGGACUCGUUUACUCCUACUCUUUGCUUCCUGUCUGCCAGCCAGUUCUCUAUCCACAUCAAUACUGAACCCCCAAUGCCAUGUGCUUUAAGUUUGUAGUUAAGUCAACAUAGACUAAAGGCAUUUGAUAUAUUGAUUGAUGGAGCAGAUUUGAAGACAUCUGUAACUUUCUUAUAUUAUUGUGCUCUUGUUUUUGAUAUCAGUAAUAAUCUCCCAUGAGAAACUUACCAAUGGCCAUUUGGAAAUCAAUCCACGCCAUGUUAUAUAGUUUUCUACUCCAACUUGGGAUAUCAAACUUUUCAUAAAAUUAAAUAACGUGGUAAGACAAUAUAUUUACGUUUUCAAACUACAUUGAUACUUUUUACUGAAUCGUGUUUCAGCAGAUUUGCUUCUAAUCAUUGAUCCUAGUAUUUUCCCAGAUAUUGCUCUCGGUUUCUGUUCAUCCAUUGGUUUUGUUUCUUUCUUUAUUGUGGAUAUAAACCUGUGUCCAAUGUUGUCGUACCUCUAAACAUCCAUGAAGAUCAGCUUUUGACAAGUUUCAGCCGAGUCCCUCCCCAUGCACUGGAAUAGAUGCUGCCCUUUCCUACAUAUUAUUAUUUUUUUCAAAAACGAAACUCUGCUGGAGGGGCUUUACCCGGAAACAAUAACUAUGUUUCUCUUCCCAUUGAGGUAUCCUGACCUGACUGCAUUGGCAAUCAUUCUACAUCCAGCACUGAAGCUUGGCACUUAUGGAGUUAACCCAUCGGUAAUUUGGGACGUAUCAGCUUGAGGGAUUUCUGUACGGACACAUCACCUCCUGCCCUACACCUGUAUCCACCUAUCACUUGCCAGACUUUGCUUCCCCCGCUCUUUUUUCCAACUUUCUUUCCCCUGCUCCAACAGUCUGAAGAAGGGUCUCGACCCAAAAGGUCAUUGCUCCAUUCCCUCCACAAGCUAAGGUUCACUUCUUAAUAAACAGACAACUCACAAAAACGUUUGUUAGACCAACUCAAGCUUUACAGAUCAUCGGCCGGGAAGUGAUGGGGAUACAACAGUCAAGUAAGCAACACAGACACUUGACUUCCCCCGUGCCACCACUUCAAUAAACCAGGGGUUGCAUUGUGUUUUAUACUGUGUGAGUGUGUCACUUAAUUACAUUCCAAAGAUGUUAGUCAUGGUCAGGGAUACAGUCAAUACACAUUACCAUAGGAUGCGGCUGAACUUGUCUCUUGUCAAUUAGUAGACACAUUUCAAAGGCAUCUUAUCAGUUGGUACUUUCAAGACAAGACAUCUCAAAGGCAUCGAUCAAUUUCUCAAUAUACAUCACUGAGACAAGUCUGGGCUUCUCUCUUUCAUCAAUUGGCAGACACAUUUCAACAGCACCGGUCAUUGUCUCAAUACACAGCAACCUGAGGCAAGCCCGGGCUUGUCUCUCUAUCUCUCUUAUCAAUCCACUGAAAAAGGCCUGCUUGAGACGAAAUAUAAGCUACAACCUAGUCCAGUAUUCCACUAUGUAUUUUUUAUAUAUUUCAAAGUAUGUAACCUUUUCACACAGAUGCUGCCUGGCCCGUUGAUUUCCUCCAGCGCUUUGUUUUUAUGAUAUGUCUUUACGGUUAGAUGAUAAGAACAAAGUCCAAGAGACUAUAAUAAUAAUCGGAUGUGUUUCUAUGCUUCAAGUUCUGAGUUAAAUACACUAUGUAUUUUAGAUCAAAUCCAUAGACAACAGACGGGUGGAUUUCCAUCCAUUCACAAUGCUUAUCAUGUUCGAGGUUAAAUAUUAUCAAGCUCUGCUGUUGCUUGGAAGUUUGCAAAUGAUGCAAUAAAUUAGUAAGUUCCCUAUCUAUCAUUGCAUUAACCAUCACAGAUAGGAUUAAAGUUUCCUCUUCCCUGUUGGCAUUAAAGAGAAAAAUUGAAUUCCCUUUAUCUGGCAUAACUUUUUACACUCAGUCAUUGGUUAAAUAUUAGAUUACCUUAUCAUCAUUCUGGUCCUAAACCUGCUCUGCAAACAACUGGUGCAUGUAUCGGCAGCGAACCGUGACUAUUCUACCCCCUGAAACUGCAGGAGAAUCCAAAACUACUUCCUGCAACAAUAAAAAGUUGAAAAUGAUUCAAAAUUUGACAUGGAAUCCCCAGUCAUAUUGGUGAAAAUCCUGCUGGCUGGAGUCACCAGUUGCAAUGGGAAUUAACAACAAACAUUGAAACUGCAGCAGGACUUAGACUUCUGUGCACGUGCUGUUAAAUGUGCUGCAGCUCAGAAGUCACUGCCGGGCAAGUGUUGGUGUAUCUGUCACCAUGCUCCGUCACACAAGGUCAGACCGAACACAGGAUAUGUGAUCACAUUGAUUAUUGUGCAUAUUCUAGGCUUCUCGAUUACGAGGCAAAGAGGAGGAGAAGGGCGAAAAGCUAGAUUCACAGAUUUCUGCCAGUCUUUGAACAUCGUGCAUUUACAAUUUUGCAACGCCAUUCGAGAUACUGAAGAGGAAUCAGGUAAAUGUUUGAAUGGUCAGGGAAAUGAGCAUUUUGGGAAAUGGACACAAAUAAGAUGAGACACAAAAUGCUGGAGUAACUCCGCGGGACAGGCAGCAUCUUUGGAUAAAAGGAAUGGGUGGCGUUUUGGGCCGAGAUCCUUCUUCAGAACAUCAAAACGUCACCCAUUCCUUCUUGCCUGCCCCGCUGAAUGACUUCAGGGUUUUGUGUCUAUCUUCGGUGUAAACCAGCAUCUGCAGUUCCUUCCUACACAAAUGAGAUGGGAACUGGAGCAGAUCAGUUAUGGUGGGAUAGGCUUGAGAGGCCGAGUGGUCCACUCCGCUCUUAUUUUCUUAUGUUCUCAAAUUAUACUAUAGCCAAGUGACUUGCGAGGCCAUUUAACAAAGCAGGUGAAAGUCAAUCAUCUUACGAUGGGUCUGGGGUUACACAGAGGCCAGACUGGGUAAAAAAUUGCACAUUUCCUUUCCAGAAAGACAUUGGACACUUUUUGAUUCUACUCUGAUGGAAAAUGCAGUGAAAUAUUUAAAUUACCUGAUCAUCCAUUGUAUUUUUUAUUUCCAGAGCUUUAUGUGUACAGAGGUUUUCUAUUUUAGUUCAAAAUAAAUAGUUUUUUUAUCCAAGAGAUCAAAGAAAAUGUAAUCUUUCCUUUCAAAGAACAUUAAUUAUGAACAGCAAAUAAAGAAUGACUUUGGCCAAUGAACCGUGACUCUGCUCUGACAACUAACAAUCAUGAUAAUCAUAUGAACAGAAUGAAAAAUAUCCCUCUCUUUUUACCUCACUGCCUAACAUGUCUUCUAUGAUUAAAAAAAUUACUUAAAUAUGAUAGUUUUACAUUAGUAAAUGGGACAACCUGGCAUAAAAAAUUAAUGUAUCCAACAGAGCUAAUCAUCCUCAGGGAUAUUGACUAAUUAAGGUAAUGCCCGAUCAUAGCAUAUAAAGAUAAUUAGCGACACAAUUAUUGUUUCUUUUUAAAAAAGCGCACUUGCCAUCAGGCACGUGAGAUCAAGCGUUGCAAACUUGCCUUCUGUGUUAAUUAAUUAUCUAUUGCUAUGAUAAUUGAGUCUGAAGAACCUUUAGGUUACCUUUGUAAAAUUUCAGCCACCAGCCAAUGCACUGUUAUCAAGUGCAUUGCAUAUUACCAAUACAAUUAACAUCAUUAAGUGCAGUUUCCACCAUAACGUGCUCCCUGGUCGCUAAAGAACAUACUGUUUGUGCAUUUGGCUACUAAGAGUGGAAUAUUUUCCACUGGCCUGCUAAGGACAUGAUAUGCUGCAGUGAAUGUAACUUGCAAAACAAGUUGGAAAGCCCGGGGUAAUAAAAUCACAGAAUUAAAGAAAGAGUGUUUGUGUAAUUUACAAGGAGGGAGACAUCAAAGAUCUUCUAUUUUCCUCCCUACUGAUGCCUCAGAUGGAUUCUUGUUGUGAAUUUGAAUCUGCAGUUGGGGACUGGACAUAUACUGUACCUCUGCAAGCCACAUAUAUUUCACCCUUCUAAGAUGUUGUCCUUGAAGCAUACAUGACCAACUCAUUUUGUUGUGUAUAUAAUUUAGGAGGAAAUGACAAGUAUAAAACUGCAAUAUAAAACUGUAACAUUUUAGUGGUGGUGGAUUGUAGUUGUUCAUCACCUGUACAACUACGCUGGAACAUGGGGAUUGAAAAUGGUCUCAUGGAUUGGUUUCCUUAGGUUAGCUAGAGGAUAUAUAAGGGUAGAGCUGAGAUUUCCUUCUGUUACACAAAAGAUAUUUACUUAAAGCUUUCCCAGUGGAUUCGGACAUCUCCUUUAACAGAGUAGGAAAAUGCAGUGGUUUCACAUCUGGCAGUUCAAUAAUGUAUUGGACAGUUCUGCUCAUUCUGUCUGCAACAU